GUGGGGAAUAUUGGACAAUGGGCGAAAGCCUGAUCCAGCCAUGCCGCGUGUGUGAAGAAGGUCUUCGGAUUGUAAAGCACUUUAAGUUGGGAGGAAGGGCAGUAAGUUAAUACCUUGCUGUUUUGACGUUACCGACAGAAUAAGCACCGGCUAACUUCGUGCCAGCAGCCGCGGUAAUACGAAGGGUGCAAGCGUUAAUCGGAAUUACUGGGCGUAAAGCGCGCGUAGGUGGUUUUGUAAGUUGGAGGUGAAAUCCCCGGGCUCAACCUGGGAACUGCCUCCAAAACUGCAUGACUAGAGUACGGUAGAGGGUAGUGGAAUGUCCUGUGUAGCGGUGAAAUGCGUAGAUAUAGGAAGGAACACCAGUGGCGAAGGCGACUACCUGGACUGAUACUGACACUGAGGUGCGAAAGCGUGGGGAGCAAACAGGAUUAGAUACCCUAGUAGUCC
Molecule: ribosomal RNA, 450 nt
Filed under: uncultured bacterium
Lineage: Bacteria
Description: partial 16S ribosomal RNA
Rfam family: Bacterial small subunit ribosomal RNA
Source: RNAcentral